Molecule: unclassified non-coding RNA, 223 nt
Filed under: plant metagenome
Description: partial contains small subunit ribosomal RNA, internal transcribed spacer 1, and 5.8S ribosomal RNA
Source: RNAcentral
UUUCCGUAGGUGAACCUGCGGAAGGAUCAUUAAAGAGACUAUGCCCUUCGGGGUAGAUCUCCCACCCUUUGUUUAUAUUACCUUUGUUGCUUUGGCAGGCCCGUCUUCGGACCACCGGCUUCGGCUAGUCAGUGCUUGCCAGAGGACCCAAAACUCUUAUUAUUAAUGUCGUCUGAGUACUAUAUAAUAGUUAAAACUUUCAACAACGGAUCUCUUGGUUCUG